RNAcentral lists this transfer RNA (73 nucleotides) under Alauda arvensis (Eurasian skylark). Its description in RNAcentral is "tRNA-Ser". It matches the Rfam family "tRNA". From Rfam's summary of the family: Transfer RNA (tRNA) molecules are approximately 80 nucleotides in length. Their secondary structure includes four short double-helical elements and three loops (D, anti-codon, and T loops). The record is from RNAcentral. Lineage: Eukaryota; Metazoa; Chordata; Aves; Passeriformes; Alaudidae.
GAGAAAGAAGCAUAAGCAGUAUAUGCGGCUGGCUUGAAACCAGCAUAUGGGGGUUCAACUCCUCCCUUUCUUG